Molecule: non-coding RNA, 85 nt
Organism: Roridomyces roridus
Lineage: Eukaryota; Fungi; Basidiomycota; Agaricomycetes; Agaricales; Mycenaceae
Source: the annotation of a GenBank genome assembly
CCGACUUUAGCUCAGUUGGAAGAGCAUGAGACUGUAAUUGGCUAACUCUAUCUCAGGGUCCUGCGUUCGAUCCGCAGAAGUCGGA